GAAUUACGCUCAAAUCUUUCUGCCCUUCGAUGUUAUUUCAAUGGUUGAAACAACAAAAGGAGGAGGAGCAGCAACAAUUGGAAUUGAUUUGGUCUGCUGAUCCCAGCCAAUUCUUGAUGCAAAACCUUUGAUUGGUUGAGAAAUUCAAUGAUAAGUUUGUUCAAAGUCAUUGCUGGAGUAAGUCACAAACCCAUGAUUCAAGUCAGUUAAAAGGGCAAACACAUGCAGCGUCAUGCAACUAGGGAAAUGUAAUGCGAAUCAACGACAACUGCUAUUGCUUACGGUCUUGGUAUGAAAAAGACUAGUGUUGGCCCAACAAAUGGUGGCGCUACAUAUCGAAUUCAUUCGAGACUUUGCAAC
This is a long non-coding RNA of Papaver somniferum (opium poppy), 360 nucleotides long. RefSeq lists it as uncharacterized. The record is from RefSeq and is a predicted model, not a curated record. The transcript has 3 exons. Lineage: Eukaryota; Viridiplantae; Streptophyta; Magnoliopsida; Ranunculales; Papaveraceae.